Molecule: ribosomal RNA, 465 nt
Filed under: Vreelandella stevensii
Lineage: Bacteria; Pseudomonadati; Pseudomonadota; Gammaproteobacteria; Oceanospirillales; Halomonadaceae
Description: partial 16S ribosomal RNA
Rfam family: Bacterial small subunit ribosomal RNA
Source: RNAcentral
CCUACGGGAGGCUGCAGUGGGGAAUAUUGGACAAUGGGGGCAACCCUGAUCCAGCCAUGCCGCGUGUGUGAAGAAGGCCCUCGGGUUGUAAAGCACUUUCAGUGAGGAAGAACGCCUGGUGGUUAAUACCCAUCAGGAAAGACAUCACUCACAGAAGAAGCACCGGCUAACUCCGUGCCAGCAGCCGCGGUAAUACGGAGGGUGCGAGCGUUAAUCGGAAUUACUGGGCGUAAAGCGCGCGUGGGUGGCUUGAUAAGCCGGUUGUGAAAGCCCCGGGCUCAACCUGGGAACGGCAUCCGGAACUGUCAAGCUAGAGUGCAGGAGAGGAAGGUAGAAUUCCCGGUGUAGCGGUGAAAUGCGUAGAGAUCGGGAGGAAUACCAGUGGCGAAGGCGGCCUUCUGGACUGACACUGACACUGAGGUGCGAAAGCGUGGGUAGCAAACAGGAUUAGAUACCCGAGUAGUC